RNAcentral lists this ribosomal RNA (443 nucleotides) under uncultured bacterium. Its description in RNAcentral is "partial 16S ribosomal RNA". It matches the Rfam family "Bacterial small subunit ribosomal RNA", at positions 338 to 795 of the family's 1533-position model. The record is from RNAcentral.
CCUACGGGGGGCAGCAGUGGGGAAUAUUGGGCAAUGGGCGCAAGCCUGACCCAGCAACGCCGCGUGAAGGAAGAAGGCUUUCGGGUUGUAAACUUCUUUUCUCAGGGACGAAGCAAGUGACGGUACCUGAGGAAUAAGCCACGGCUAACUACGUGCCAGCAGCCGCGGUAAUACGUAGGUGGCAAGCGUUAUCCGGAUUUACUGGGUGUAAAGGGAGUGUAGGCGGGGACGCAAGUCAGAUGUGAAACCCACGGGCUCAACCUGUGGCCUGCAUUUGAAACUGUGGUACUUGAUUGCUGGAGAGGCAGACGGAAUUCCUAGUGUAGCGGUGAAAUGCGUAGAUAUUAGGAGGAACACCAGUGGCGAAGGCGGUCUGCUGGACAGCAACUGACGCUGAGGCGCGAAAGCGUGGGGAGCAAACAGGAUUAGAUACCCUAGUAGUC